UACAGAGGGUGCAAGCGUUAAUCGGAAUUACUGGGCGUAAAGCGUGCGCAGACGGUUGCGUAAGUCAGAUGUGAAAGCCCCGGGCUCAACCUGGGAAUUGCAUUUGAGACUGCGUAGCUAGGGUGCGGAAGAGGGAAGCGGAAUUUCCGGUGUAGCGGUGAAAUGCGUAGAUAUCGGAAGGAACACCAGUGGCGAAAGCGGUUUCCUGGUCCAGCACCGACGUUCAGGCACGAAAGCGUGGGGAGCAAACAGG
This 253-nucleotide ribosomal RNA is filed under the name uncultured bacterium. RNAcentral's name for it is "partial 16S ribosomal RNA". It matches the Rfam family "Bacterial small subunit ribosomal RNA", at positions 524 to 776 of the family's 1533-position model. The record is from RNAcentral.